AUUGAACGCUGGCGGCAUGCUUUACACAUGCAAGUCGAACGGUAACAGGCCUUCGGGUGCUGACGAGUGGCGCACGGGUGAGUAAUGCAUCGGAACGUACCCAGAGGUGGGGGAUAACGCAGCGAAAGCUGUGCUAAUACCGCAUGUGAUCUGAGGAUGAAAGCGGGGGACCGAGCAGCAAUGUUUGGCCUCGCGCCUUUGGAGCGGCCGAUGUCGGAUUAGCUAGUUGGUGGGGUAAAGGCCUACCAAGGCGACGAUCCGUAGCUGGUCUGAGAGGACGACCAGCCACACUGGGACUGAGACACGGCCCAGACUCCUACGGGAGGCAGCAGUGGGGAAUUUUGGACAAUGGGCGCAAGCCUGAUCCAGCAAUGCCGCGUGCGGGAAGAAGGCCUUUGGGUUGUAAACCGCUUUUGGCAGGAACGAAACGGUGUCCGCUAAUACCGGGCGCUAAUGACGGUACCUGCAGAAUAAGCACCGGCUAACUACGUG
Molecule: ribosomal RNA, 492 nt
Filed under: uncultured bacterium
Lineage: Bacteria
Description: partial 16S ribosomal RNA
Rfam family: Bacterial small subunit ribosomal RNA
Source: RNAcentral